RNAcentral lists this ribosomal RNA (252 nucleotides) under uncultured bacterium. Its description in RNAcentral is "partial 16S ribosomal RNA". It matches the Rfam family "Bacterial small subunit ribosomal RNA", at positions 100 to 353 of the family's 1533-position model. The record is from RNAcentral.
GGACGGGUGAGUAAUGUCUGGGAAACUGCCUGAUGGAGGGGGAUAACUACUGGAAACGGUGGCUAAUACCGCAUAACGUCGCAAGACCAAAGAGGGGGACCUUCGGGCCUCUUGCCAUCAGAUGUGCCCAGAUGGGAUUAGCUAGUAGGUGGGGUAACGGCUCACCUAGGUGACGAUCCCUAGCUGGUCUGAGAGGAUGACCAGCCACACUGGAACUGAGACACGGUCCAGACUCCUACGGGAGGCAGCAUG